Molecule: ribosomal RNA, 468 nt
Filed under: uncultured bacterium
Lineage: Bacteria
Description: partial 16S ribosomal RNA
Rfam family: Bacterial small subunit ribosomal RNA
Source: RNAcentral
GACGAACGCUGGCGGCGCGCCUAACACAUGCAAGUCGAACGGAGUCAAGAGGAGCUUGCUUUUCUUGACUUAGUGGCGAACGGGUGAGUAACGCGUGAGUAACCUGCCCUGGAGUGGGGGACAACAGUUGGAAACGACUGCUAAUACCGCAUAAGCCCACGGAUCCGCAUGGAUCUGCGGGAAGAGGAUUUAUUCGCUUCAGGAUGGACUCGCGUCCAAUUAGCUAGUUGGUGAGGUAGCGGCCCACCAAGGCGACGAUUGGUAGCCGGACUGAGAGGUUGAACGGCCACAUUGGGACUGAGACACGGCCCAGACUCCUACGGGAGGCAGCAGUGGGGGAUAUUGCACAAUGGGGGAAACCCUGAUGCAGCGACGCCGCGUGGAGGAAGAAGGUUUUCGGAUUGUAAACUCCUGUCGUUAGGGACGAUAAUGACGGUACCUAACAAGAAAGCACCGGCUAACUACGUG